UACGUAGGGUGCGAGCGUUGUCCGGAAUUAUUGGGCGUAAAGAGCUUGUAGGCGGUUUGUCGCGUCUGCCGUGAAAAUCCGGGGCUCAACCCCGGACUUGCGGUGGGUACGGGCAGACUAGAGUGUGGUAGGGGAGACUGGAAUUCCCGGUGUAGCGGUGAAAUGUGUAGAGAUCGGGAGGAACACCGGUGGCGAAGGCGGGACUCUGGGCCUACCCUGACGCUGAGGCGCGAAGGCGUGGGGAGCAAACGGG
This 253-nucleotide ribosomal RNA is filed under the name uncultured bacterium. RNAcentral's name for it is "partial 16S ribosomal RNA". It matches the Rfam family "Bacterial small subunit ribosomal RNA", at positions 524 to 776 of the family's 1533-position model. The record is from RNAcentral.